CAGUAAGAUCCCAGGAGUUUAAAGCAGAACCCAUGGCCUUCAAGAGAACAGGGAAAUGUAUCCCACAGACGAAAAUAUUUCCCUUUGGUGCCUUCAGUGCAUUUACUGUUUCUUUUAUCUCAGUGCUUU
Long non-coding RNA from Poecilia latipinna (sailfin molly), 129 nucleotides. RefSeq lists it as uncharacterized. The record is from RefSeq and is a predicted model, not a curated record. Lineage: Eukaryota; Metazoa; Chordata; Actinopteri; Cyprinodontiformes; Poeciliidae. The transcript has 2 exons.